This 460-nucleotide ribosomal RNA is filed under the name uncultured bacterium. Its description in RNAcentral is "partial 16S ribosomal RNA". It matches the Rfam family "Bacterial small subunit ribosomal RNA", at positions 338 to 795 of the family's 1533-position model. The record is from RNAcentral.
CCUACGGGAGGCAGCAGUGAGGAAUAUUGGUCAAUGGACGAGAGUCUGAACCAGCCAAGUAGCGUGAAGGAUGACUGUCCUAUGGGUUGUAAACUUCUUUUAUAUGGGAAUAAAAUGUUCCACGUGUGGGAGUUUGUGUGUACCAUAUGAAUAAGGAUCGGCUAACUCCGUGCCAGCAGCCGCGGUAAUACGGAGGAUCCGAGCGUUAUCCGGAUUUAUUGGGUUUAAAGGGAGCGUAGGCGGAUUGUUAAGUCAGUUGUGAAAGUUUGCGGCUCAACCGUAAAAUGGCAGUUGAAACUGGCAGUCUUGAGUACGGUAGAGGUAGGCGGAAUUCGCGGUGUAGCGGUGAAAUGCUUAGAUAUCACGAAGAACUCCGAUUGCGAAGGCAGCUCGCUGGACUGCAACUGACACUGAGGCACGAAAGUGUGGGUAUCAAACAGGAUUAGAUACCCUAGUAGUC